This 771-nucleotide ribosomal RNA is filed under the name uncultured Vagococcus sp. Its description in RNAcentral is "bacterial SSU rRNA". It matches the Rfam family "Bacterial small subunit ribosomal RNA", at positions 28 to 776 of the family's 1533-position model. The record is from RNAcentral. Lineage: Bacteria; Bacillati; Bacillota; Bacilli; Lactobacillales; Enterococcaceae.
GACGAACGCUGGCGGCGUGCCUAAUACAUGCAAGUCGAACGCACGAAGUUGAAGAGCUUGCUCUUUAACCAAGUGAGUGGCGGACGGGUGAGUAACACGUGGGUAACCUGCCCAUUAGAGGGGGAUAACAUUCGGAAACGGAUGCUAAUACCGCAUAGUUUCAGGAAUCGCAUGAUUCUUGAAGGAAAGGUGGCUUCGGCUACCACUAAUGGAUGGACCCGCGGCGUAUUAGCUAGUUGGUGAGGUAAUGGCUCACCAAGGCAAUGAUACGUAGCCGACCUGAGAGGGUGAUCGGCCACACUGGGACUGAGACACGGCCCAGACUCCUACGGGAGGCAGCAGUAGGGAAUCUUCCGCAAUGGACGAAAGUCUGACGGAGCAACGCCGCGUGAGUGAAGAAGGUUUUCGGAUCGUAAAACUCUGUUGUUAAAGAAGAACAAGGAUGAGAGUAACUGCUCAUCCCCUGACGGUAUUUAACCAGAAAGCCACGGCUAACUACGUGCCAGCAGCCGCGGUAGUACGUAGGUGGCAAGCGUUGUCCGGAUUUAUUGGGCGUAAAGCGAGCGCAGGCGGUUCUUUAAGUCUGAUGUGAAAGCCCCCGGCUCAACCGGGGAGGGUCAUUGGAAACUGGAGAACUUGAGUGCAGAAGAGGAGAGUGGAAUUCCACGUGUAGCGGUGAAAUGCGUAGAUAUGUGGAGGAACACCAGUGGCGAAGGCGACUCUCUGGUCUGUAACUGACGCUGAGGCUCGAAAGCGUGGGGAGCAAACAGG